Molecule: long non-coding RNA, 244 nt
Filed under: Sorghum bicolor (sorghum)
Lineage: Eukaryota; Viridiplantae; Streptophyta; Magnoliopsida; Poales; Poaceae
Description: long non-coding RNA (SBIC_LNC018091)
Source: RNAcentral
AAGAGCGCUCAUGGAAUUUGGAUUGGCUGGAGUAAUUAGUGCUACUGUCAAGUGCCAACAACAUUCAGGUUAAUAUUGUACUUAGCAGCCGGAACAUGGCCACGAUCGAAUCCUCAUUUCGGAAAUGUCGUUUCCAGGACAUUUAGGUUCCCAUUCCGCAUAUACUAGUAAAAAAACAUUACAAAGCACUACCUCUAUCCCAAAAAGAAUAUAAUUACUGUUACGUGCCAUAUAAAAUAGUUCA